Molecule: small nuclear RNA, 101 nt
Filed under: Echinops telfairi (small Madagascar hedgehog)
Lineage: Eukaryota; Metazoa; Chordata; Mammalia; Afrosoricida; Tenrecidae
Source: RNAcentral
UUAGUAUAAGGAGUACCUAUACUUAAAUGGGAAGGAUACAGAGAUCAGCAAGGCCCCUGAGCAAAGAUACCAUACAAAUUCUUGAAGCAUUCCAUACUUUU